RNAcentral lists this unclassified non-coding RNA (357 nucleotides) under soil metagenome. RNAcentral describes it as "partial contains 5.8S ribosomal RNA, internal transcribed spacer 2, and large subunit ribosomal RNA". The stretch from base 1 to 120 matches the Rfam family "5.8S ribosomal RNA", at positions 35 to 154 of the family's 154-position model. The record is from RNAcentral.
GAUGAAGAACGUAGCGAAAUGCGAUAAGUAAUGUGAAUUGCAGAAUUCAGUGAAUCAUCGAAUCUUUGAACGCACAUUGCGCCCGUUAGCAUUCUAGCGGGCAUGCCUGUCCGAGCGUCAUUUCAACCCUCAGGGUCCCCGUUCCGGCGGGGAACCUGGUGUUGGGGAUCGGCCCGCCCCGCGCGGCGCCGUCCCCCAAAUUCAGUGGCGGUCUCGCUGCAGCCUCCCCUGCGUAGUAGUUACAACCUCGCAUCGGAGCUCAGCGCGGCCACGCCGUAAAACCCCCGACUUUCUGAACGUUGACCUCGGAUCAGGUAGGAAUACCCGCUGAACUUAAGCAUAUCAAUAAGCGGAGGA